AAAAUUUAUCGUUAUCAAAAUUUCUGACUCUUACCGAGAUAAUUGAUCCCAUGUCAAUAAAUUUGAUAAAAAAAAUGAAAAGAUGUGGGAGGUUGGCAGCGUUCAUGUCCCUUUAAGAAGCUGCACCACCUUGAGUCACGUAAAAAAAAGUGACUCAACGUAAUUCAUGCGACAGCCCUAUCUAGUGGACAACUUUUGUUUCUGCGCACACCUGUAGUUAUCGUCCAUUUAUCGUUACCGAGGUGAAAUCCUCAAUAUAUCGUGAUAUGGAUUUUAGGCCAAAUCGCCCAGCCCUAACCUCCUCCCGGUUGGACGUGCCUGGAAAACCUCACCAGGGAGGCGUUCAGGAGGCAUCCUGACCAGGUGCCCAAGCCACCUCAACUGGUUCCUCUCGACAUGGAGGAGCAGCGGGUCUACUCCGAGCCCCUCUAGGAUGACCAAGCAUCUCACCCUAUCUCUAAGGGAAACCCCAGCCGCCCUGCGGAGAAAACUAAUUCCUGCGAUCUUGUUCUUUCGGUCACCACCUAAAGCUCGUGGCCAUAGGUGACCAAAAACAAAAUACCUGAAUCUAAAUUAGCUGUGAAUCCCAGAAGUAAGCUGCUAGAAACAGCCACUUAUUCCCAGUGUUGCUUGAGGAAAUGAGCACACUCUAAUAUAUAUAUUACAAGUAAAAUAAACCUGAUGUUUUGCCCAUAUUCUUCCUCUAGUUUGGAACCAGAUCUCGGUUCUGUUUGAAUCAUUUUCUUUCCAUGAACAAAUGAGCUGAAACUUUGAAAAUGUUCGAGAACCAAACAUUCCAGCGAGACCAACACGUUUUUUCCACUUCAGACAACAAACAAAAACAAUUAUCUGUGGAAAAUUCAGGCUGCAUGUUGAAGAAGCUCACCAGAUUAAAUGCUUGGUUUAUAUUUUCUGUUGCCACGAUUAGCUUUGCUUCCAAGUCACGAAGAUUAAAUUACAACUAACGAAGAAACCUUUAUUUAAUUCCCACACUGAAUCACACUUUCGACGCCUCUUGGACAAACAGACCAAUCCUGCGCACAACAACACUUUCUGCACCAACAUGGACACAAACUGCCUGGGGGUUGUGCGAAUUCUGACCUGUUUUAUGGAAACAAAGGGAUCAAAUUAAAAUGUUCCCACUGAGUGAGCAGCGAACACAAAUAUGCCCCAUGGACGGGCAGCACCUGCUGCACGGCUUCUGACAACGGAAGGAAUGGAAAUCUGGCCGUUUAAGACUUUUUCUGAGCUCUGUAAGAAAACUGAUUCAUCAUAUUUUGCUAAUUUUACUCUUUUUCUUCCAUCCAGUCUUUUUGGGCUAAAUCAAUAAAUUCAAGAAACUAAAGUUACAACUGAUAUAUUUUAAACUUAAAGGUGUCCGGCAGUUUGCUUCGUUUGCUCAGACUGUUUAUUUAAAAGUUUAAAGUCGUUGUUUAGCAGGAAAGGACUUCCUGUCAGAUCUUACACUCGAUAAAAUCACGAAGCCAAAGAGCAGAGCUUCGAAAACAAGCAGGAAAAAAAGUGUUUUCACAGCUUUUCCAUGUGGCCUGCAUUAUUGAUGGACUUAGCCUAAUCCACAGUGAAAACACGCAGGGUCACAUCAUGACACGGGCCAUGUUUUUGGAGAGGUGGGGACACACACACUAUCAUGAGAAUUUAUGGUGUGGAUGUCGGCUCUUGAGCAUAUGUUCAAACAGCACGCCCAAGAGAUUGUUGGACAGAACACAGAGCCACUUCUCUCCAACAUGGCGGGUGGCGACGAUCAUACCCUUGAGGCAAUGUGGCUUCUGGUUCUGGCCAGAUCAGAUAGGAAGAUAAAAUCCUGGUGGCUGCUGUUUAGGUUUAGGCAUACGGGGAAUAUGAGGAUCAGAUUCAGCUCUGAUUUAAAAAAUGGAUUCUGUCUGGUAGAAGUUAUGUUACAUGGUUUACUUUGUUUUACGCAUUCUUCUCAAGUGAUCUAAUCAAGUGUACCGGCUCUGAUUAACAGAAAAUGGGCCUGAAUGCAACCCAGGGUGAUAAAGAACACAUUAAAGGUGCACAAUGUAAGAAUGAAGUAAGAAUGACAUAUUGUGGUCAAAUGUGGGUACUGCAGCCCAUUUUCAAAACAAGUGACUAAUAAAACGAGUUUCAUGGCUGCUGCCAGUAACGGAUCAGAGCCAUAAGAGUCUGGAUGAAGACUGAAGAUGAGUCAAAUACAGUAAGCUGAAGAGUAGAUAAAUACAUUUAACUGUUUCAUCUAGUCAUUGGCGGUUCUAGGGGCGGGGCCACAGGGGCACUGGCCCCUGCUGAAAUAUGAUUGGCCCCUGUAGUGCCCCUGUCCUGUCACUCAUCUGUCCUUUGUGCGGUGAUGAGAUUAUAGGUGGAUGCAAUUCCGAGUCCAAACACUAGUGGCCGUGUGGCGCUAAGGAGCAAAAUAGUGUGUGAAAUCCAACAGAAGAAGAUUUGAAAGAUUCCAAGAAGGGAGAACUUUUCAACCGACAUCGGAUCUGAUGAGAGUCCACGUUAUGAGGAGUUUGUUGGUAAGUCACGAAUCACUGUUUACUCACAGUUGCCAUGUAAGUCAAGUCUGACAAUAAGUCCAAUGGAAAGCAAUGCCGACAUUAGUUAAAGGUAAUGUUAAAAAGGGCUUGUGAAAAAACGUUAGCCCUUGCUAAUCCAUGUACUUCUUUUGUAAUCUGCAUUUUGUGUGUUAAUAGUUGGCACUGUCUGAUAGAGAACAUGAAAAGAAAGGGUCAGAUACAGGCGGGAAUUCUGCAGUUUUUUCCCAAGAGAGUGAGUGUGUCAGCUGGUGAAAACGAGCUUGGAGAAAUCAGAGAGAGAGCAGCAGGAGGCAGUAGACCAGAGGCUGGAACAGGGCAAGGGACCUCCAUUCCCCCUUUAUCAGCUGCAAACUGGGACAAGACUCUCUCCAAUUCAGACAACCAGAGUGAAGUUAAUGACUCAACCUUCCAUCCUGCUGGGCCACCAGAGUCACCAAUCAAUGCUAAUCCUGCAGGAUCAAAUGACAUCUUCCAGUGUGAUGCACAGAAUCCUGCGCAGACAUCAGAACGGUGUUCUGUUCCAGUAGGACCUGGUGGUGUGCUUCUCAUUUUGUAAAGGCUCUUUAAAUUUAAUUGAAUUUUGCAGUCAGUCACUUGCAGAUUCUGAAUGCCAUGAAUGUUAAAGGUUGAGAGAUAUAAGCAACUGACUCAGACUUAUUUAAUUGACUUCCCACCAGACAUUUCCCAGUCAAGAGCAGAGGGUCCUGUGAUAUUCUUCUGGUGUUUUUUCCACACACAAACAUAUUUUAACCUGAUAUUUGUGGCUUUGUAAAAUAAAUUGAAUGCUAAAAUUUCUCAAAUGCUGUGUGUGGUUGUAUUUUGUCAAUGUACAGUAAAAAUUGAUGUACAAUUGCAUUGAUGUUUUUCAACAUGGUGUUGGGGUAAACUGUAUCUACCAUACAAAACUGGGAAUAGUAUGCAAGUAUGUUGGACUGUUCGUGGCCCCUCUAUAAAUAUUGUGGCCCCUUGAUGGCCCCACCCUCAGAAAAAUCCUAGAUCCGCCACUGCAUCUAGUUGUUGGUCAUUGAAAAAGUAGCUUGACAAUUUUUAGAGCAAACUUAUUUUUUUCUUUUUCACUGUUAGCAUUGUUAGCUCAACGUUAGCCUCUAGCCUUCUCUACCCAAAUUUUAGAGUAAAACAAAAAGAUGUCGUGGCUUCUUAAGGGUACAAUAACUUCUGGGCUGCUAAUUUUAACGGCUAACGUACUUAACUCGGCUGAUGUUGAUUAAUAACUCAUUAACUGCCAUUGACGAGAAAAAACGGCAUUUGAAAUCCAACCGUUCACUGCCAAUGAUGGCUAAAUUCGUCAUUUGCAUUUUUUUACUGUGUGGGCGUUGGAACGAGCCCCCGCACCGUGAGAACAAACAUCCCAGCUCUAAAGCCGAUCUUCGUCCGCAUAGGUCACACGUCACGCGUGAUCAGGAAGCAGAAAAUCCAUGUGUUAGGAGAUCGUUUUGGGCCGCUGCUGUAAAAAAAAUGAGGCGCAAACGGGAAAAGUUUCUGCUGAUAACAAUUCAACAACGGAUUAUGAAAGAACGGAUAACGCUCGAAACGUGCGGAUUCUUCCUGAUGUAAGAGGUGAGUCUCCGCUUUGUUUUGUUAGUUUUGGCACUGACAUCAUCCUAGCGCGCAACGUUCUGUGAAUCUUAAAAAAACUGUAAAAACGCAAAAACCGCUGGCAGCGAAGAGUUUUACCGAUCAGGAAACGGCUGGCAGUGAAUUCAAUUCAAUUCAAUUCAAUUCAAAAAUACUUUAUUAAUCCCAGAGGGAAAUUGAUUAAACAUAUAGUCGACAGAGCAACUCCAACAUGCAGCCACCCAGAGCAGCGCAGAAUGAGUUAAUGUCAGCGCAGACUUGGCAACCCAAGAGGUAACAACUAUAACCUUUUAUCAAUUUUUUUUAUGUGGUAUAUCAAUGUAAUACAGGGUAUAUACAGCAAUCCUUAAGUAAAAUUUACUACUUUUUAAUACCUUUUUUACUACCUUCAGAAUUUUUUUAAAACCAUCACAACACUAAAUUGCAAGUGUUAAUCAGCGACCUAUUUACACAUAUUUUAACAUAUAUAACAUACAAAAAGAAUAGACUUAGAGACUCACUGAUGUUGACAACGUAUUGCGCAUAUUUAUUUUACUUAGAAAAUAAGCCAGGCACUUCUGUUCAGCGGUUCAGACAGUUGACCACGGGGCCUGAAAUGAUGCAGAACCACUGAAUAUGACGUCAUCAUAAUGUGACCGGAUAUGCUAAAGCAGGGCUGCUCGAUUAUGGCAAAAACAAUAAUCACGAUUAUUGUGACUGAAAUUGAGAUCUCGAUUAUUUAAGACGAUUUUUCAAUUUAUGUAGAUUUUUUUUUAUUCAGUCAUAAAACUGCUCAGGGCACAAUCAGGGCAAAAAUAAACAAAAAACAAGAUGAUCACUAAAAGAACUCCUGAUUCCCAGUAUAAAAAGACCAAUAUACUCAUAGCUCAUAGUUUAUGACCCAAGGGCUGUAGACCUUGGUUUAACUCAUUUAAGUCUAACCAGUACAGACCCAAAUACCAAUAUCUUGCAAAUACUGACAGCAAGAAUUAUACAGUGGCAUUUAUAACAAAUAAAUGCAAAUAAAUUGAUGUUCACAAAAUGUUGCAUAACAUUUAUUUAGCCAUGUCAAGGUGCUGUAGGAGCGUGCACUAGCACCGUGUCCUCAGAGAGAUUAGUUAUUAGUUAUCAGCGUGAGGAACUUAUUUCUACCUUAUUUAUAAACUAUUUAUUUACAGGCCCAUCAGUUAAUGUAAUAAUUGUCCCAACCACAGCUGCACCCCCCACCCCCCAACCCGGUCUCACAGCAAUCAGGGGCAAGCUGCACGUGUGUUUAGCGCGCCGCACGCGCACAUUUAGCCGUUUUUAGCGGCUCAGGAGUCCGCAGGUACGGUGUGUGUCACUCACUCUGGUUAAUCCAACAGGGAGCCGGCUCUGAGAGCCGUUUCUUUAGCCACUGACACAUCACUACAUCAUUCCCUUUCCUAAUGUCCUGAAGAACGGUCCGGAGCGCAGGCGGAGUGUUUAGCUAACCUGCAGGAAACGUCGACGACAGUUAUCCAGAAAGUAGCUAAGGGUUACCAGAGAUGUUUCUGAGGUGUUCGCUAGGUACUUUUAAGAUUUAAAAAGUCAAGAAGGGGGUCUGAGAAGCUGUUGGAAAUAGCAUCAAAGUCGCUAAGUUGGCAACGGAGCGCUUCAUUUGUAACAGGGCAGCUCAAGUGGGAGGAGCAAAUAAUCGGCUUGUUUUAUUUUUAUAAUCGUUCAAAACAUUUCAUUCGGAAUAUAUUUCUAUGUCGAUGUUCAGAAUACGACACCUGAUAGUCUGAAAAAAAUAAUACCUAACUUGGAAAAAAUAAUACCUCUGAGACCAAAUUUAACACUUUUAAUGGCCUUAAAUUUGACUAUUUUUAUUUAUCACUUUUUAAUACUUUUUAAAACCCCGCGGACACCCUGUAAUAAAAUUGGCCCUUGCCACCUGGAGAUCAUCCACCAGGGGGCAGCAGACAUGUAUAGGCCCUGAUAUGACAGACUUAUGAUGAAGGUACUAAUCCUGAUUCUAAUCCUGGAUAGGACAGAACUGGUUUUAUGAGAAUUUGUAACAACAGUCUACAAUAGGUUUAACCCUCCCACU
Molecule: non-coding RNA, 6186 nt
Organism: Nothobranchius furzeri (turquoise killifish)
Lineage: Eukaryota; Metazoa; Chordata; Actinopteri; Cyprinodontiformes; Nothobranchiidae
Source: RefSeq, a predicted model, not a curated record